CAAGUCGAACGAGCUUCCGUUGAAUGACGUGCUUGCACUGAUUUCAACAAUGAAGCGAGUGGCGAACUGGUGAGUAACACGUGGGAAAUCUGCCCAGAAGCAGGGGAUAACACUUGGAAACAGGUGCUAAUACCGUAUAACAACAAAAUCCGCAUGGAUUUUGUUUGAAAGGUGGCUUCGGCUAUCACUUCUGGAUGAUCCCGCGGCGUAUUAGUUAGUUGGUGAGGUAAAGGCCCACCAAGACGAUGAUACGUAGCCGACCUGAGAGGGUAAUCGGCCACAUUGGGACUGAGACACGGCCCAAACUCCUACGGGAGGCAGCAGUAGGGAAUCUUCCACAAUGGACGAAAGUCUGAUGGAGCAAUGCCGCGUGAGUGAAGAAGGGUUUCGGCUCGUAAAACUCUGUUGUUAAAGAAGAACACCUUUGAGAGUAACUGUUCAAGGGUUGACGGUAUUUAACCAGAAAGCCACGGCUAACUACGUGCCAGCAGCCGCGGUAAUACGUAGGUGGCAAGCGUUGUCCGGAUUUAUUGGGCGUAAAGCGAGCGCAGGCGGUUUUUUAAGUCUGAUGUGAAAGCCUUCGGCUUAACCGGAGAAGUGCAUCGGAAACUGGGAGACUUGAGUGCAGAAGAGGACAGUGGAACUCCAUGUGUAGCGGUGGAAUGCGUAGAUAUAUGGAAGAACACCA
RNAcentral lists this ribosomal RNA (688 nucleotides) under uncultured bacterium. RNAcentral's name for it is "bacterial SSU rRNA". It matches the Rfam family "Bacterial small subunit ribosomal RNA", at positions 58 to 711 of the family's 1533-position model. The record is from RNAcentral.